Molecule: ribosomal RNA, 295 nt
Filed under: uncultured bacterium
Lineage: Bacteria
Description: partial 16S ribosomal RNA
Rfam family: Bacterial small subunit ribosomal RNA
Source: RNAcentral
GAUGAACGCUGGCGGCGUGCCUAACACAUGCAAGUCGAGCGAACCCUUCGGGGUGAGCGGCGGACGGGUGAGUAACGCGUGGGUAACUUGCCCUGUACACACGGAUAACAUACCGAAAGGUAUGCUAAUACGGGAUAAAGUAUGAAAGUCGCAUGGCUUUUAUAUCAAAGCUCCGGCGGUACAGGAUGGACCCGCGUCUGAUUAGCUAGUUGGUAAGGUAACGGCUUACCAAGGCGACGAUGCAUAGCCGAGUUGAGAGAUUGAUCGGCCACAUUGGGACUGAGACACGGCCCAA